RNAcentral lists this ribosomal RNA (246 nucleotides) under Triticum aestivum (bread wheat). RNAcentral describes it as "partial small subunit ribosomal RNA". Lineage: Eukaryota; Viridiplantae; Streptophyta; Magnoliopsida; Poales; Poaceae. The record is from RNAcentral.
AUGAUUAAAGGAGAAGAUUGUUCUUUUACCAAACAUAUGCAGAUAAAAUCACGUCUUAUAAUAAGAAGAAAUCUUUCUCGAUAUCAAUCCCCUUGCCCCUCAUUCUUUAAGAAUCACAAGGAUCCUUUUCGAGUUUCAGUUUCUUCAUUUGGAAUCUGGCUCUUCUAUCUUCAACUUAUUUUUUUGGCUUUAUUCUUUAUUUAUUUCAUUUCGAUUUUUCCCUCUUCCUCUAUCCCUAUCCUCUAG